UACGGAGGAUCCAAGCGUUAUCCGGAAUCAUUGGGUUUAAAGGGUCCGCAGGCGGUCUUUUAAGUCAGAGGUGAAAUCCUAUCGCUCAACGAUAGAACUGCCUUUGAUACUGAAAGACUUGAGUUAUUGUGAAGUGGUUAGAAUAUGUAGUGUAGCGGUGAAAUGCAUAGAUAUUACAUAGAAUACCGAUUGCGAAGGCAGAUCACUAACAAUACACUGACGCUGAGGGACGAAAGCGU
RNAcentral lists this ribosomal RNA (239 nucleotides) under uncultured bacterium. RNAcentral's name for it is "partial 16S ribosomal RNA". It matches the Rfam family "Bacterial small subunit ribosomal RNA", at positions 524 to 762 of the family's 1533-position model. The record is from RNAcentral.